UACGGAGGGUACAAACGUUGCUCGGAAUCAUUGGGCGUAAAGCGCACGUAGGCGGCCCAGCAAGUCGGGUGUGAAAGCCCUCGGCUUAACCGAGGAAGUGCAUUCGAAACUACUGAGCUUGAAUACUGGAGAGGAUCGCGGAAUUCCCGGUGUAGAGGUGAAAUUCGUAGAUAUCGGGAGGAACACCAGUGGCGAAGGCGGCGAUCUGGACAGAUAUUGACGCUGAGGUGCGAAAGCGUGGGGAGCAAACAGG
RNAcentral lists this ribosomal RNA (253 nucleotides) under uncultured bacterium. RNAcentral describes it as "partial 16S ribosomal RNA". It matches the Rfam family "Bacterial small subunit ribosomal RNA", at positions 524 to 776 of the family's 1533-position model. The record is from RNAcentral.